ACGGGUGAGUAACACGUAUCCAACCUGCCGUCUACUCUUGGACAGCCUUCUGAAAGGAAGAUUAAUACAAGAUGGCAUCAUGAGUCCGCAUGUUCACAUGAUUAAAGGUAUUCCGGUAGACGAUGAGGAUGCGUUCCAUUAGAUAGUAGGCGGGGUAACGGCCCACCUAGUCUUCGAUGGGUAGGGGUUCUGAGAGGAAGGUCCCCCACAUUGGAACUGAGACACGGUCCAAACUCCUACGGGAGGCAGCAUG
RNAcentral lists this ribosomal RNA (253 nucleotides) under uncultured bacterium. RNAcentral describes it as "partial 16S ribosomal RNA". It matches the Rfam family "Bacterial small subunit ribosomal RNA", at positions 102 to 353 of the family's 1533-position model. The record is from RNAcentral.